GGUGCGACAGCGAGAUGCGCGAGUAAAUCGUACGGGCGCCCAUCUCGUAUCGCACGCAUCGUGUGGCAUGGAUCAGUCGCGGGAGCUAGAAUCCGAGUCUGAAGAAUAUUAUCGAUAGCGAUCAUAGUUAUGCAUCAUUCCUUACACAGCGUUCCAAUGUAAAUGAAUGCUCAGCUGAACUGUUGUGCCUUAUAUACGAUCGUUAGUAAAUGCACUCGAUACAUACUAGGCUGUCAAUACUCGAAUACCUUUUCCCGAGAAUAAUUUCGUAGAAUAUCCGAUUUACUUCACGAUAAUUAAGGAAAAUUGUAUAUCCAAUUGUUGAACUUUGUCUAAAGAUAUAUAUGUCUGUAAAAUAUAUCAUAAAAUUAUC
Ooceraea biroi (clonal raider ant) is the source of this 373-nucleotide long non-coding RNA. RefSeq lists it as uncharacterized. The record is from RefSeq and is a predicted model, not a curated record. NCBI's taxonomy places the organism in Eukaryota, Metazoa, Arthropoda, Insecta, Hymenoptera, Formicidae.